GCAUAUCAAUAAGCGGAGGAAAAGAAACUAACUAGGAUUCCCCCAGUAACUGCGAGUGAAGAGGGAAGAGCUCAUCAUUGGAAUCUGGCAGUGUUGCACUGUCCGAGUUGUAGAUGAGGAGUAGUCCGUCUGGACUGCAUGGCGUCCAAGUACAAUAGGCCGUCAGUGGGACAUCAUAGAGGGUGACAAUCCCGUCCUUGACGCCAAUGUGCAAGUCUAUUACGAUGGCUAUCUCAGAGAGUCGAGCAGUUUGGGAUUUGCUGCUUAAACAUGGGAGGUAGAUUCCUUCUAAAGCUAAAUACAGGCGAGAGACCGAUAGAGAACAAGUACCGCAAGGGAAAGAUGAAAUAGCACUCUGUGAAGGGAGUCAAAAGGCGUGAAAUUGUUGCGAGAGAAGCGAUUCAAGUCAGCGUAGCUAGGCCCAUCAAGCGUCUUCGCUUUGGACUAGCUUUGCCAGCGGUCUUGUCCCUUGAAGAGACUUGACUUGUAAUAUGUCCAGCCUGGCGUGCACAGGCAGCCCCUUCUGGGGGCCAGUGGCAUGGCUGGUGGAAUGGCUUGCAAUCGACCCGUCUUGAAACACGGACCAAGGAGUCUAACAUGUAUGCGAGUAUAAGGGUGGCAAACCCGUAUGCGCAAUGAAAGUGAUUUUCGGUGAUUGAGAAUGGCCUGAUGACCAGACAAGCAAUAUAUGUCCCUCGUACGGCCAUUGCCCAAGUUCCGUGGUAGAUCCCACGAACAUGGAGUUGGAGCAUACAUGCUAGGACCCGAAAGAUGGUGAACUAUGCCUGGACAAAGCGAAGCCAAAGGAAACUCUGGUGGAGGCUUGUAGCGAUUCUGACGUGCAAAUCGAUCGUCUGAUCUGGGUAUAGGGGCGAAAGACUAAUCGAACCAUCUCAUAGCUGGUUCCUGCCGAAGUUUCCCUCAGGAU
This 928-nucleotide ribosomal RNA is filed under the name Cantharellus isabellinus. RNAcentral describes it as "eukaryotic LSU rRNA". It matches the Rfam family "Eukaryotic large subunit ribosomal RNA", at positions 38 to 979 of the family's 3401-position model. The record is from RNAcentral. Lineage: Eukaryota; Fungi; Basidiomycota; Agaricomycetes; Cantharellales; Hydnaceae.